This 22-nucleotide small RNA is filed under the name Arabidopsis thaliana (thale cress). RNAcentral's name for it is "ATSL069020". The record is from RNAcentral. Lineage: Eukaryota; Viridiplantae; Streptophyta; Magnoliopsida; Brassicales; Brassicaceae.
GUUUUUUUUUGGUUUUUUUUGU